This is a small nucleolar RNA of Molossus molossus (Pallas's mastiff bat), 124 nucleotides long. The record is from RefSeq and is a predicted model, not a curated record. NCBI's taxonomy places the organism in Eukaryota, Metazoa, Chordata, Mammalia, Chiroptera, Molossidae.
AUACAUAUGUAUAUAUCCUUACAGAAUAUGUGAGCAGCGUUAUUUCUUAUGUGUUAGACAAAUAGUUGAAGGUUAAUUAGCAGUAUAACUAAAUCAGAAUGCUGCCAGUCUCCUUCAGACAAAC